AUUGAACGCUGGCGGCAGGCCUAACACAUGCAAGUCGAACGGUAACAGGAAGAAGCUUGCUUCUUUGCUGACGAGUGGCGGACGGGUGAGUAAUGUCUGGGAAACUGCCUGAUGGAGGGGGAUAACUACUGGAAACGGUAGCUAAUACCGCAUAACGUCGCAAGACCAAAGAGGGGGACCUUCGGGCCUCUUGCCCUCGGAUGUGCCCAGAUGGGAUUAGCUAGUAGGUGGGGUAACGGCUCACCUAGGCGACGCUCCCUAGCUGGUCUGAGAGGAUGACCAGCAAAACUGGAACUGAGACACGGUCCAGACUCCUACGGGAGGCAGCAGUGGGGAAUAUUGCACAAUGGGCGCAAGCCUGAUGCAGCAAUGCCGCGUGUAUGAAGAAGGCCUUCGGGUUGUAAAGUACUUUCAGCGGGGAGGAAGGGAGUAAAGUUAAUACCUUUGCUCAUUGACGUUACCCGCAGAAGAAGCACCGGCUAACUCCGUG
Molecule: ribosomal RNA, 490 nt
Filed under: uncultured bacterium
Lineage: Bacteria
Description: partial 16S ribosomal RNA
Rfam family: Bacterial small subunit ribosomal RNA
Source: RNAcentral